RNAcentral lists this ribosomal RNA (458 nucleotides) under uncultured bacterium. Its description in RNAcentral is "bacterial SSU rRNA". It matches the Rfam family "Bacterial small subunit ribosomal RNA", at positions 340 to 786 of the family's 1533-position model. The record is from RNAcentral.
UACGGAAGGCAGCAGUGGGGAAUAUUGCACAAUGGGCGAAAGCCUGAUGCAGCUAUGCCGCGUGUAUGAAGAAGGCCUUAGGGUUGUAAAGUACUUUCAUCGGGGAGGAAAAACAAAACUAAUAAUUUUAUUUCUUGACGUUACCCGAAAAAGAAGCACCGGCUAACUCCGUGCCAGCAGCCGCGGUAAUACGGAGGGUGCUAGCGUUAAUCAGAAUUACUGGGCGUAAAGAGCACGUAGGUGGUUUUUUUAAAGUCAGAUGUGAAAUCCCUGGGCUUAACCUAGGAACUGCAUUUUGAAACUGAAAUACUAGAGUAUCGUAGAGGGAGGUAGAAUUCUAGGUGUAGCGGUGAAAUGCGUAGAUAUCUGGAGGAAUACCUGUGGCGAAAGCGGCCUCCUAAACGAAUACUGACACUGAGGUGCGAAAAGCGUGGGGAGCAAAACAGGGAUUAGAUACC